UAAAUACUCUCUCUGUCCAAAAAUUCUUGUCUUAGAUUUGUUUAGAUACGGUUGAUACAUCCGUAUCUAGACAAAUUUAAGACAAGAAUUUUGGGACGGAGGGAGUAUAAA
Molecule: non-coding RNA, 111 nt
Organism: Triticum urartu
Lineage: Eukaryota; Viridiplantae; Streptophyta; Magnoliopsida; Poales; Poaceae
Source: Rfam